GAUGAACGCUGACAGAAUGCUUAACACAUGCAAGUCGAUGAGAAGACUCCCUUCGGGGAGAGGGUAUCAAGGCGGACGGGUGAGUAACGCGUAAAGAACUUGCCGUAGGGACAGGGAUAACCGAUGGAAACGACGGAUAAGACCUGAAAUAAUGGAUAUGUGGCAUAACGUAUUGCUGAAAAGCAAUACCAUACGAGAGCUUUGCGUCCUAUUAGCAAGUUGGUAGUGUAAUGGACUACCAAGGCGAUGAUAGGUAGCCGGCCUGAGAGGGUGGACGGCCACAAGGGGACUGAGAUACGGCCCGUACUCAUACGGGAGGCAGCAGUGGGGAAUAUUGGACAAUGGAGGUAACUCUGAUCCAGCAAUUCUGUGUGCACGAAGAAGGUUUUCGGAUUGUAAAGUGCAUUAAGUUGGAAAGAAAAAAACGACGGUACCAACAGAAUAAGCGACGGCUAAAUACGUGCCAGCAGCCGCGGUAA
Molecule: ribosomal RNA, 479 nt
Filed under: uncultured bacterium
Lineage: Bacteria
Description: partial 16S ribosomal RNA
Rfam family: Bacterial small subunit ribosomal RNA
Source: RNAcentral